GACGAACGCUGGCGGCGUGCUUAACACAUGCAAGUCGAACGGAACGGCCCUGCUUUUGUGGGCUGCUCUGGGUGACGACGGGUAAGUAACCCUUGGGUAACCUGCCAUUGCCUGUGGGAUAACUUCAGGAAACUUGGUCUCAUACCGGAUAGGAGCUCCUGCUGCUUGGUGGGGGUUGGAUGGUUUCGGCGGUUGGGGAUGGACUAGCGGCCUAUCAGCUUGUUGGAGGGGUAGUGGCUUACCAAGGCUUUGACGGGUAGCCGGCCUGAGAGGGUGACCGGCCACAUUGGGAUGGAGAUGAGGCCCAGCCUACAAUGGGAGGCAGCAGUGCGGAAGAGUGUACAAGGGGCUGAAGCAUGAUGUAGCAAAGCAGCGUGGGGGAUGACGGCAUGCGGUUUGGAAACUGCAUUCGUCUGUGACGAAGCGUGAGUGACGGUAACGGGUAAAGAAGCACCGGCUAACUACGUG
RNAcentral lists this ribosomal RNA (468 nucleotides) under uncultured bacterium. Its description in RNAcentral is "partial 16S ribosomal RNA". It matches the Rfam family "Bacterial small subunit ribosomal RNA", at positions 28 to 507 of the family's 1533-position model. The record is from RNAcentral.